CAUACAGUACCACUGACCAAACCAAGGUUAUCAACACAACAUACAGUACCACUGACCAAACCAAGGUUAUCAACACAACAUACAGUACCACUGACCAAACCAAGGUUAUCAACACAACAUACAGUACCACUGACCAAACCAAGGUUAUCAACACAACAUACAGUACCACUGACCAAACCAAGGUUAUCAACACAACAUACAGUACCACUGACCAAACCAAGGUUAUCAACACAACAUACAGUACCACUGACCAAACCAAGGUUAUCAACACAACAUACAGUACCACUGACCAAACCAAGGUUAUCAACACAACAUACAGUACCACUGACCAAACCAAGGUUAUCAACACAACAUACAGUACCACUGACCAAACCAAGGUUAUCAACACAACAUACAGUACCACUGACCAAACCAAGGUUAUCAACACAACAUACAGUACCACUGACCAAACCAAGGUUAUCAACACAACAUACAGUACCACUGACCAAACCAAGGUUAUCAACACAACAUACAGUACCACUGACCAAACCAAGGUUAUCAACACAACAUACAGUACCACUGACCAAACCAAUUUAAUUAACAGCUCAGAAAUCCAUCAACAAUUGUGUUAUAUUGCUUCUACAUGCUAUGAUCCAAUAGAUCAGUGUUUCAUUGCUGAAUUACCAUCCGAAUACCACCCUUGUCUUCAAUCCUAUUGUAAGAGUACAAAUAGUUAUCAAUACUGAAGUAAAUGUACCUAACAUCAAAGACAAGCCAUACUGUUAAAAAA
Molecule: long non-coding RNA, 769 nt
Organism: Oncorhynchus keta (chum salmon)
Lineage: Eukaryota; Metazoa; Chordata; Actinopteri; Salmoniformes; Salmonidae
Exons: 3
Source: RefSeq, a predicted model, not a curated record